RNAcentral lists this long non-coding RNA (451 nucleotides) under Trifolium pratense (red clover). RNAcentral describes it as "long non-coding RNA (TPRA_LNC000936)". The record is from RNAcentral. Lineage: Eukaryota; Viridiplantae; Streptophyta; Magnoliopsida; Fabales; Fabaceae.
AUCCGUCAGAUCCAUCUGUUGCACAAGAUAAGGCCACCUGCAUUCAGAGAAGCACAAUCACACUUCUCUGCAAAAUUUGAAAAUACACAUAACAGAACACAUCUAAUGCCAAUUAGAUCUACUUGUUGAAACAUCAACACUUUGCUGCAGAAAUUGACAGCAGAAUAAGAAAGAAGAAGAGCCAAGGAGAUGCAACCAACUCUAAAGAAUUUACCAAAGGCAAAGAAAGCUAAAUGAAGCACAAUAACAACGCCGUUGUUACUUAUUCUUUAAUCAUGAAAUUUUCUAUUUCUAUAUGAUUUUUAUUGCUCUGCAAUUUCAAGUUCUGUAUGUCACUAAACAGAGUUGAUGAUGAAAUCAUUGUUAUUGGAUCUAGCUUAAGUUCUCAAUCUGAUUAUGUCUUCUUUGCAAAACUAAAUGACGAAGAGGCAAAAGUUUUUGGCAAUCGCGG